AGCCGCGGUAAUACGAAGGGGGCUAGCGUUGUUCGGAAUUACUGGGCGUAAAGCGCACGCAGGCGGUCUGUCAAGUUGGGGGUGAAAUCCCGGGGCUCAACCUCGGAACUGCCUUCAAAACUGUCAGACUAGAGAUCGAGAGAGGUAAGUGGAAUUCCUAGUGUAGAGGUGAAAUUCGUAGAUAUUAGGAGGAACACCAGUGGCGAAGGCGGCUUACUGGCUCGAUACUGACGCUCAUGUGCGAAAGCGUGGGGAGCAAACA
This 262-nucleotide ribosomal RNA is filed under the name uncultured bacterium. RNAcentral describes it as "partial 16S ribosomal RNA". It matches the Rfam family "Bacterial small subunit ribosomal RNA", at positions 513 to 774 of the family's 1533-position model. The record is from RNAcentral.